This is an RNA transcript of Oryctolagus cuniculus (rabbit), 4903 nucleotides long. It is a transcript of the gene named synaptotagmin 6, with no coding region annotated. The record is from RefSeq and is a predicted model, not a curated record. NCBI's taxonomy places the organism in Eukaryota, Metazoa, Chordata, Mammalia, Lagomorpha, Leporidae.
AUUGCGGGGCUCAGAAAGUCCUUGCACAGUUUGCAGGGCCCAGAAGACCUGGGGGUCUUCCACUCAGGAAUCCGAGACUCAGGACACCUCUGACCAACUCCUCCCGUUGAGGACCUCGGUCUGGUCCUCCCACUCCCAGCCGGGAUCCCCCUCAUUCGCCUGGGGGGGGGGGUCCUGUGUUUUUGCGCCACUCGUGUGGCAGGAGACAGUUCACCCAGUGUCUUCCUAAACACUGCCUGGGUAACUCGAGGGAGCCGGAGAAGCGCUCAUAAUCAUACCUCUUUUCUGGAGAGGCUCGGCGAUGCCCAAGGCCGCACCAGGCAGGGUUUACGGAGCCGGACCCCGGUUCCUCCCCCUGCCUUGUACUUUCCAAGAUGCGGGGCAGCACCCUCCGACCCCCAGACCUCCCUGCUCCUCGGUCCCCGCUUCUAAUCCGCCAAGCCUCGGGCAGGUCCCUGAGCGGGGGUGGGGGGCGGCCGGGAGGCGCCAGACAAGCCAGCUGCCGCGGGAUGCCACGUGAGGGGCGGGGACCCUGCGGAGAAGUGAUUAAAAGCAGCACAGAGCCGCAGGGGGCCGCUGUGGGCAGGGUCUUCACCCGGCCGCCUUGCCCCGCCCCAGUCCGGCCGCGGCGCGGGUUCAAACGGCUGCGGGGCAGGCCUGGGUGUCCCGGGCAUGACCGGCGUGUGGGAGGCCGGGGGGCCCCGGUGCCAGGCGGCGCUCGCGGUGCUGGCUUCGCUGUGCCGGGCCCGGCCGCCCCCUCUCGGGCUGGACGUGGAGACUUGUCGGAGCUUCGAGCUGCAGCCCCCGGAGCGCAGUCCGAGCGCGGCCGACGCAGGCACCUCUGUCUACCUCCUCGCUGUGGUGGUUAUCGUGUCUGGCGUGGCCCUGGUGGCAGUUUUUCUCUUUCUCUUUUGGAAGCUGUGUUGGAGACCCUGGAGGAGCAAGGAGACCUCCAGCCCCUCGUCCGCUGCUGACCCCACCGAGGAGGCCCUCCAGAGCCCCAGCUCCCAAGGCAACAUGGCGGACAAGCUGAAGGACCCCAGCAGCCUGGGCUUCCUGGAAACGGCCGUGAAGAUCAGCCACACGUCCCCGGACAUCCCGGCCGAGGUGCAGAUGUCAGUCAAGGAGCAUAUCAUGCGUCACACGCGGCUGCAGCGACAGACCACGGAGCCAGCCUCGUCCACCAGGCACACGUCUUUCAAGCGCCACCUGCCGCGGCAGAUGCACGUCUCCAGCGUGGACUACGGCAGUGAGCUGCCGCCGGCGGCCGAGCAGCCCACCAGCAUCGGCCGCAUCAAGCCUGAGCUCUACAAGCAGAAGUCGGUGGACGGGGACGAGGCCAAGUCCGGGGCAGCCAAGAGCUGCGGGAAGAUCAACUUCAGCCUCCGCUACGACUACGAGAGUGAGACCCUGAUCGUGCGCAUCCUGAAGGCCUUUGACCUCCCCGCCAAGGACUUCUGCGGAAGCUCUGACCCUUACGUCAAGAUCUACCUCCUGCCUGACCGCAAAUGCAAGCUGCAGACCCGGGUGCACCGCAAGACCCUGAACCCCACCUUCGACGAGAACUUCCACUUCCCCGUGCCCUACGAGGAGCUGGCCGACCGCAAGCUGCAUCUCAGCGUCUUUGACUUUGACCGCUUCUCCCGCCACGACAUGAUCGGGGAGGUCAUCCUGGACAACCUCUUUGAAGCCUCCGACCUGUCCCGGGAGACCUCCAUCUGGAGGGACAUCCAGUACGCCACGAGUGAGAGCGUGGACCUGGGGGAGAUCAUGUUCUCCCUGUGCUACCUGCCCACUGCGGGCAGGCUCACGCUCACCGUGAUCAAGUGCCGGAACCUCAAGGCGAUGGACAUCACAGGCUACUCAGACCCGUAUGUCAAAGUGUCCCUGCUCUGUGACGGGCGGAGACUGAAGAAGAAGAAGACCACCAUAAAGAAGAACACGCUCAAUCCUGUCUACAACGAGGCCAUCAUCUUUGACAUUCCCCCCGAAAACAUGGAUCAAGUCAGCCUGCUCAUCUCGGUGAUGGAUUAUGAUCGAGUGGGCCACAACGAGAUCAUAGGAGUGUGCCGCGUGGGGAUCAGCGCCGAAGGCCUGGGCAGGGACCACUGGAACGAGAUGCUGGCGUACCCACGCAAGCCCAUCGCACACUGGCACUCCUUGGUGGAGGUAAAGAAAUCCUUCAAAGAGGGAACUCCCCGGUUGUGAUUUCAGUCCCGUGGAGGCUGCCAGCAGAGAGACUGCCACCCGGAGUUAGGAUGGCAGGGCCGAGCCGCCAGCUUCGACAGCGAGAGCUCGUGCCCGUCUCCGAAACCGCCUCCGACGCCGUGAGCUGCCCGGCCCGGCCACACGGACGGACGGGACUCAGCGAUGUUGCACCUGUCCUGCCGUCUGAGCACAGAGCUGUGCGCUCACGGCGGCGGCGGCGGCCCGCUUCACUCCAGAGUCUUGACUGCUCCCGCGUAGGCCAGGGCCGAGAUCCUUGUCGUGUGGUCAGAUCUGUCUUAGUCUUUCUGUCUCCCAAGGUGAUGUUUCUGUGAUUCUUUAUUUCACUUUUUAUGGAUCUGCUGUGGAGCAAGGGCGGGAAAACAGAAGCAGGACGAAACGAAAGGUAGAGAGCCCAGGAGUGGCUUCUAUAAAACACAGUGUAAAAUAGCAGUGUUUCCCAGAGAGGUGCAUGGGAUUCCUGAAGGUCUGCGUCUCCACCGAGCUCCACAGGCAUGGAGAAAGGAGGAAGUGGGAGGAGCUAUGCCUGCACCUGCAGCACCUGGCGAGCCCGGUCCGGACGGAUGGAAGAGCCUUUAAAGGCCGAUUACUGGUCUUCGAAGCUCUUCUCUGGCGUGACAUAAACCAAGACUGGGACUCCUGGUCCUGUGUGGAAAUGGCAAGACCCCCGAGGUGUGUGUGACCUGCCAGCAGGUACGUGCAGGGUCCCUUGCUCCCCAAUCUCGUUGUCUUUCCUCGUGAACUGCCAACCGUCUGGAUUCCCCUUGGGAACCGACUCUCUUUAGAAAUGAUUCUACUGAAAGGCAAUUCGCCAUGUUUUCUGAUGUGCCAUGGCUAAUGAUCACAUUUGUUUGAAAAUUGGGUCUUUGUUCUCGAAAAGAGCCUUCAUUGUGAAGAAAGAGGGACACAUAUAUUCUGGAAUGAUCUCUGCAUUAUACAUAGCUUUGUCAUUCCGUGAAAUAACAUGCUGCUGUCUCAAAUACCUCUGCAGAUCAAAGAAACAAUUAGCUAGAAUGGGGAGUUUUGAAAUCCAAGUACCAGUUCGAGUUUGCCUUUCUGUGGCAAGGGUGUUCCUGGUUGAGACGAAAGCAGUACAAGCCUAUUUCAGCCCUGUUGACUUUGGGACAAUAGUCGUCUUAAACUUUAGUUCUUUAAAUUCCUAAGAACUUCCUUGUUGUUUGUUUCAGUGGUUGUGAGGGGUUUGUUUUGGUUUUGUUUCCUUUUGAUCUCUACCUUAGGCCAACUUCAGUUUAGCAAAAAAAAAAAAAAAAAAUAUUUGAACCACUGCGUAUUGUCCCGGCCCGGUUCUGUUGAGUCCGUGGUGGCCUGCAUGCCACCUGUGGUAGCUCGGUUGGUUUGCCCAGCCUCAGUGGGGAUAGCCCUGCUAACCACACAGAAGGGGAGGUCCCACUUCCGCGUGUGACUGCACCGUGUCGUUGCCAGAGCUGUGUGCGUGGCUUACAAGAAGCAAGCCUGCUGAAGACUUGGAAGGCCAAGAACAUCAAUCACUCACGCACCUGGCAUCUUACUGUUUCUACACGUCGCGUGCUGUAGGAGCCACGGCUUGCCAGUUACCUUUCUUCCACAUCAGACUGACAGGUGUCUCUGCUGAGGGGCAUUGUCUUCUGUGGUCCAAGAAGUCAAUGGAGAGAAACCUGGACGCCCCCCUGUACUGAGCCCUGGGCUAGGCACCACUGUGUAAAGAUAGCUUUUCUCCCCAAGUCUCGUGAUGAAUAUAUCUUCUCCUCUUGAGAGUGAGGGGAAAACCCAAGGUCACAGCAGGACUCCUGGCGGGUGACAAACUUCACUUUGUUUCUUGACCCUAGACUGACCCCUUUCAGAUGGCACCUUGUUCCCUGGGCAGGCGGGCAGGCGCUGGGGGUACUGACACUAGAAAGGGGACAAUGGAGUUUCCCCGGGUCACAAGGAACCCACAAAUUAGCACAAGAGGGCGCUUCCAGAAGUGAGCUCAAAGUGCAUACCCAGUCAUCAUCUUGAAACCCUUGGGCAGGUGAGGAUGAGCCGUUGGCACCUCUGUGGGGAGGGUGCACGGUCUGUGCAAAUCACGAAAGAAUUUCCCUGGUCGGGAGGUUCUGCUUGUAUCUGAGCAGCUAUCUCCCAGCUGUUUGGGCGGAGUGUGACCCCAUACCACUGGAACCAACUGCUACCACCCACCCCAGGAAGGCCUUUGGCUCCUGGAGCCUCACGGCGCCCCCAACCAGUGCCUCAGGGGAGCCAGUCGGUCCUCAAUCUGCAGCAUGAAUGAAUCCCGAAUGUCUGCCAACUUCCUCAUCCGGCCCAGUCUCUCCCGCUCCGAGACAAGAAUAAAAAGAGACACCAGCGCCGGGACAAAGUGAAACAUAAAGUUGAUGCGUUGUUGGCUUCCUCUGACGUAAGACACCUCUGGGGUCGCUGUGUGUGCUUUGCUGACGUUGCCACGACUGGGGCCAUUUGCACAGAGAUUUAAAAAAAGAAAAAAAAAAAACACAAAAAAGUUUCCUUCUCCUUUGUUUUGCAGUGUUUCGGGGCUGAGAGAUGCCCCCUCCCUCUCUGCGCUUACCUGGGAUCCUGAUGAAUUGUAUCAUCAUUCACAAAGUUAUGUUGUUAAUUACUGCCUUGUGCGUUCCACCCCGUCACAGCCUGGAGUUUUUACUCAAUUAAAUCUCUGUCUCUUGCC